Xiphophorus hellerii (green swordtail) is the source of this 733-nucleotide long non-coding RNA. RefSeq lists it as uncharacterized. The record is from RefSeq and is a predicted model, not a curated record. The transcript is spliced from 3 exons. NCBI's taxonomy places the organism in Eukaryota, Metazoa, Chordata, Actinopteri, Cyprinodontiformes, Poeciliidae.
AACGGGCCGCCAUAUUUUAGCUCAGGAUCCAUAUGCACCACAUUUAGUGAUUGUUGCUGUGAUAUUUGUGCCGCCCGACAGGGGGACUGUUGGGAAUAAAUAAUUCUGUGUUCCUCCGUCUCUUUUAGCUUCUGCAGGCUCGGAUAAACACAGAGGCUCACACAUACGAAUGCAGCUUGUUUUAAAAGAAGUGACAUUUACAAAACAUAACAAAUAUAGUCAUUUGUUACAACUAUGGUUACAUUAAGAUGUAAAAUAUCAAAACAACCUGUCUCCAUGGAAACAGUACUGUAUGCACCAUAACAAGUUUCCAGAUCUGUUAAAAUAAAAUAGAUUUAACAUUUAAGUGAAACUUUCUGGUGCACAGAAGAAUAAAGUCUGUAAUUAGCCUAAUCAGAUGGCUGAAUGUUUUGUUUUAAAUACAUAGAGAGUUAAAUGUUUAUGGAGCUGUAAUCCUUUGAACAAUGUUACCAUGGAAACCAUAAGAGCAUCUGUCAAAUGUAAAUAUUAUAACAAAGAUAAUCUGAAGAGGUGGCUCGCAGAAAUUGACUGAAAUGGAGAAACUUCACCUGGAAGAGAAGGCAUCACUGGAAGAGAACCAAACCUGCACAAACCCAGGCGGCCAUGAUGAUAAAGCCUCAGUUGGUCCCAGCGAUGGACAGCAGGUUCAGCCCACCCAGAGGCUGCAGAACAAACACCGUUGUGACAAGUGUCUGAAAUAUUUCAGAUGGAA